CAAGUCGAGCGGCAGCGCGGGGGCAACCCUGGCGGCGAGCGGCGAACGGGUGAGCAUACAUCGGAACGUACCCAGACGUGGGGGAUAACACAUAAGAAAGAUGUGCUAAUACCGCAUACGACCUGAGGGUGAAAGGGGGGGAUCGCAAGACCUCUCGCGUUUGGAGCGGCCGAUGUCGGAUUAGCUAGUUGGUGAGGUAAAGGCUCACCAAGGCGACGAUCCGUAGCUGGUCUGAGAGGAUGAUCAGCCACACUGGGACUGAGACACGGCCCAGACUCCUACGGGAGGCAGCAGUGGGGAAUUUUGGACAAUGGGGGCAACCCUGAUCCAGCCAUUCCGCGUGAGUGAAGAAGGCCUUCGGGUUGUAAAGCUCUUUCGGCAGGAACGAAACGGUGAGGGCUAAUACCCUUUAUCAAUGACGGUACCUGAAGAAGAAGCACCGGCUAACUACGUGCCAGCAGCCGCGGUAAUACGUAGGGUGCGAGCGUUAAUCGGAAUUACUGGGCGUAAAGCGUGCGCAGGCGGUUCUAUAAGACAGAUGUGAAAUCCCCGGGCUUAACCUGGGAACUGCGUUUGUGACUGUAGGACUCGAGUGUGGCAGAGGGGGGUGGAAUUCCACGUGUAGCAGUGAAAUGCGUAGAGAUGUGGAGGAACACCGAUGGCGAAGGCAGCCCCCUGGGUUAACACUGACGCUCAUGCACGAAAGCGUGGGGGAGCAAACAGGGUUAGAUACCCUGGUAGUCCACGCCCUAAACGAUGCGAACUAGGUGUUUGG
Molecule: ribosomal RNA, 775 nt
Filed under: uncultured bacterium
Lineage: Bacteria
Description: bacterial SSU rRNA
Rfam family: Bacterial small subunit ribosomal RNA
Source: RNAcentral